RNAcentral lists this ribosomal RNA (424 nucleotides) under uncultured bacterium. RNAcentral's name for it is "bacterial SSU rRNA". It matches the Rfam family "Bacterial small subunit ribosomal RNA", at positions 355 to 776 of the family's 1533-position model. The record is from RNAcentral.
UGAGGAAUAUUGGUCAAUGGCCGGAAGGCUGAACCAGCCAAGUCGCGUGAGGGAAUAAGGCCCUACGGGUCGUAAACCUCUUUUGUCGGGGAGCACUGGGUGACUUGCGAGUCAUCAGGAAGAGUACCCGAAGAAAAAGCAUCGGCUAACUCCGUGCCCGCAGCCGCGGUAAUACGGAGGAUGCGAGCGUUAUCCGGAUUUAUUGGGUUUAAAGGGUGCGCAGGCGGUACGGAAAGUCAGCGGUAAAAUUACGGAGCUCAACUCCGCCGAGCCGUUGAAACUUCCGCACUAGAGUGAGCGAGAAGUAAGCGGAAUGCGUGGUGUAGCGGUGAAAUGCAUAGAUAUCACGCAGAACGCCGAUUGCGAAGGCAGCUUACCGGCGCUCAACUGACGCUCAGGCACGAAAGUGCGGGUAUCGAACAGG